This 253-nucleotide ribosomal RNA is filed under the name uncultured bacterium. RNAcentral's name for it is "partial 16S ribosomal RNA". It matches the Rfam family "Bacterial small subunit ribosomal RNA", at positions 524 to 776 of the family's 1533-position model. The record is from RNAcentral.
UACGUAGGGGGCAAGCGUUGUUCGGAAUUACUGGGCGUAAAGCGCGCGUAGGCGGUUUGGAAAGUCAGGUGUGAAAGCCCCGGGCUCAACUUGGGAACUGCAUUUGAUACUGCCAGACUAGAGUACAGAAGAGGUGACUGGAAUUCCCAGUGUAGCGGUGAAAUGCGUAGAUAUUGGGAGGAACACCAGAUGCGAAGGCGGGUCACUGGGCUGAUACUGACGCUGAUGCGCGAAAGCCAGGGGAGCGAACGGG